CAGUAGCCACGUUAAUACGAAGGGUGCAAGCGUUACUCGGAAUUACUGGGCGUAAAGCGUGCGUAGGUGGUGGUUUAAGUCCGUUGUGAAAGCCCUGGGCUCAACCUGGGAAUUGCAGUGGAUACUGGGUCACUAGAGUGUGGUAGAGGAUAGUGGAAUUUCCGGUGUAGCAGUGAAAUGCGUAGAGAUCGGAAGGAACAUCUGUGGCGAAGGCGACUAUCUGGGCCAACACUGACACUGAGGCACGAAAGCGUGGGGAGCAAACAGGAUUAGAUACCCCCGUAGUCCCUGUCUCUUAUAC
RNAcentral lists this ribosomal RNA (301 nucleotides) under uncultured bacterium. RNAcentral's name for it is "partial 16S ribosomal RNA". It matches the Rfam family "Bacterial small subunit ribosomal RNA", at positions 509 to 807 of the family's 1533-position model. The record is from RNAcentral.